GAUGAAGAACGUAGCGAAAUGCGAUAAGUAGUGUGAAUUGCAGAAUUCAGUGAAUCAUCGAAUCUUUGAACGCACAUUGCGCACCUUGGUAUUCCAUGGGGCAUGCCUGUUCGAGCGUCAUUUGUACCUUCAAGCUCUGCUUGGUGUUGGGUGUUUGUCUCGCCUCUGCGUGUAGACUCGCCUCAAAACAAUUGGCAGCCGGCGUAUUGAUUUCGGAGCGCAGUACAUCUCGCGCUUUGCACUCAUAACGACGACGUCCAAAAGUACAUUUUUACACUCUUGACCUCGGAUCAGGUAGGGAUACCCGCUGAACUUAAGCAUAUCAAUAAGCGGAGGA
This 337-nucleotide unclassified non-coding RNA is filed under the name soil metagenome. RNAcentral's name for it is "partial contains 5.8S ribosomal RNA, internal transcribed spacer 2, and large subunit ribosomal RNA". The stretch from base 1 to 120 matches the Rfam family "5.8S ribosomal RNA", at positions 35 to 154 of the family's 154-position model. The record is from RNAcentral.